ACACAUGCAAGUCGAGCGAGACCUUCGGGUCUAGCGGCGGACGGGUUAGUAACGCGUGGGAACGUGCCCUUCUCUGCGGAAUAGCCACUGGAAACGGUGAGUAAUACCGCAUACGCCCUUCGGGGGAAAGAUUUAUCGGAGAAGGAUCGGCCCGCGUUAGAUUAGAUAGUUGGUGGGGUAACGGCCUACCAAGUCUACGAUCUAUAGCUGGUUUUAGAGGAUGAUCAGCAACACUGGGACUGAGACACGGCCCAGACUCCUACGGGAGGCAGCAGUGGGGAAUCUUAGACAAUGGGCGCAAGCCUGAUCUAGCCAUGCCGCGUGUGUGAUGAAGGUCUUAGGAUCGUAAAGCACUUUCGCCAGGGAUGAUAAUGACAGUACCUGGUAAAGAAACCCCGGCUAACUCCGUGCCAGCAGCCGCGGUAAUACGGAGGGGGUUAGCGUUGUUCGGAAUUACUGGGCGUAAAGCGCGCGUAGGCGGAUUGGAAAGUUGGGGGUGAAAUCCCGGGGCUCAACCCCGGAACUGCCUCCAAAACUAUCAGUCUAGAGUUCGAGAGAGGUGAGUGGAAUUCCAAGUGUAGAGGUGAAAUUCGUAGAUAUUUGGAGGAACACCAGUGGCGAAGGCGGCUCACUGGCUCGAUACUGACGCUGAGGUGCGAAAGUGUGGGGAGCAAACAGGAUUAGAUACCCUGGUAGUCCACACCGUAAACGAUGAAUGCCAGUCGUCGGGCAGUAUACUGUUCGGUGACACACCUAACGGAUUAAGCAUUCCGCCUGGGGAGUACGGUCGCAAGAUUAAA
This 800-nucleotide ribosomal RNA is filed under the name Sulfitobacter sp. RNAcentral describes it as "bacterial SSU rRNA". It matches the Rfam family "Bacterial small subunit ribosomal RNA", at positions 51 to 898 of the family's 1533-position model. Lineage: Bacteria; Pseudomonadati; Pseudomonadota; Alphaproteobacteria; Rhodobacterales; Roseobacteraceae. The record is from RNAcentral.